RNAcentral lists this transfer RNA (386 nucleotides) under Borrelia miyamotoi. RNAcentral describes it as "partial 16S-23S ribosomal RNA intergenic spacer". The stretch from base 15 to 89 matches the Rfam family "tRNA". Lineage: Bacteria; Pseudomonadati; Spirochaetota; Spirochaetia; Spirochaetales; Borreliaceae. The record is from RNAcentral.
CUCAAGGCUUUUUUGGGGGUUUAGCUCAGUUGGUUUAGAGCAUCGGCUUUGCAAGCCGGGGGUCAAGGGUUCGAAUCCCUUAACCUCCAUUUAUUUGUUUUUAAAUAAGUGUGAAUUAAGCCUUUUAAGAAAUGUCUUGUAUUAAAAAAGAAGCUAUUCAAACGUAUUGUUGCUUUUAAAGUGUUAUUUUUUGAUUUAUUUAGGUGAAUUUAGUAUUUUAUAUUGAGUUAACAAAUUUUUUCAUGGGCUUAAAAGGUAUGUUUUUAUGUUAUUUGUUAUCCUGAUGAAUUUCUUUUUAUGAAUUCCAAGACUUGAUUACAUGCAAAAACUUUAUCUUUAAUUAUUUUAUUCAUAUUAUCAAGAACCUUAUCAUGAAUCAACCUAAU